RNAcentral lists this ribosomal RNA (253 nucleotides) under uncultured bacterium. Its description in RNAcentral is "partial 16S ribosomal RNA". It matches the Rfam family "Bacterial small subunit ribosomal RNA", at positions 524 to 776 of the family's 1533-position model. The record is from RNAcentral.
UACAGAGGGGGCGAGCGUUAUUCGGAAUUAUUGGGCGUAAGGGGCGCGUAGGCGGCUUUUCAAGUGACGGGUGAAAUCCCUCGGCUUAACCGAGGAACUGCCUGUCAGACUGGAAGGCUUGAGACCGGGAGAGGUGAGUGGAAUUCCCAGUGUAGCGGUGAAAUGCGUAGAUAUUGGGAGGAACACCAGUGGCGAAGGCGGCUCACUGGACCGGAACUGACGCUGAGGCGCGAAAGCGUGGGGAGCAAACAGG